Molecule: ribosomal RNA, 1405 nt
Filed under: uncultured Bacilli bacterium
Lineage: Bacteria; Bacillati; Bacillota; Bacilli
Description: bacterial SSU rRNA
Rfam family: Bacterial small subunit ribosomal RNA
Source: RNAcentral
ACGAACGCUGGCGGCGUGCCUAAUACAUGCAAGUCGAACGAGCUCUCCCAAAUUGAUUUUAUGCUUGCGUAAAUGAUUUUUGGAUUCGGAGCGAGUGGCGAACUGGUGAGUAACACGUGGGUAACCUGCCCUGAAGCGGGGGAUAACAUUUGGAAACAAGUGCUAAUACCGCAUAAUUAGUUGGAACCGCAUGGUUCCAACUUGAAAGAUGGCUCUGCUAUCACUUUGGGAUGGACCCGCGCCGUAUUAGUUAGUUGGUGAGAUAAAAGCCCACCAAGACGAUGAUACGUAGCCGACCUGAGAGGGUAGUCGGCCACAUUGGGACUGAGACACGGCCCAGACUCCUACGGGAGGCAGCAGUAGGGAAUCUUCCACAAUGGACGAAAGUCUGAUGGAGCAACGCCGCGUGAGUGAUGAAGGUUUUCGGAUCGUAAAACUCUGUUGUUAAAGAAGAACAAGUGUUAGAGUAACUGUUAACACUUUGACGGUAUUUAACCAGAAAGCCACGGCUAACUACGUGCCAGCAGCCGCGGUAAUACGUAGGUGGCAAGCGUUGUCCGGAUUUAUUGGGCGUAAAGCGAGCGCAGGCGGUUUUGUAAGUCUGCUGUGAAAGCCCUUCAGCUCAACUGAGGAAGUGCAGUGGAAACUACAAAACUUGAGUACAGAAGAGGAAAGUGGAACUCCAUGUGUAGCGGUGAAAUGCGUAGAUAUAUGGAAGAACCACCAGUGGCGAAGGCGGCUUUCUGGUCUGUUACUGACGCUGAGGCUCGAAAGCAUGGGUAGCGAACAGGAUUAGAUACCCUGGUAGUCCAUGCCGUAAACGAUGAAUACUAGGUGUUGGAGGGUUUCCGCCCUUCAGUGCCGCAGCUAACGCAUUAAGUAUUCCGCCUGGGGAGUACGACCGCAAGGUUGAAACUCAAAGGAAUUGACGGGGGCCCGCACAAGUGGUGGAGCAUGUGGUUUAAUUCGAUGCUACGCGAAGAACCUUACCAGCUCUUGACAUCUUCUGCCAACCCAAGAGAUUGGGCGUUCCCUUCGGGGACAGAAUGACAGGUGGUGCAUGGUUGUCGUCAGCUCGUGUCGUGAGAUGUUGGGUUAAGUCCCGCAACGAGCGCAACCCUUAUUAUUAGUUGCCAGCAUUUAGUUGGGCACUCUAGUGAGACUGCCGGUGAUAAACCGGAGGAAGGUGGGGACGACGUCAAAUCAUCAUGCCCCUUAUGAGCUGGGCUACACACGUGCUACAAUGGAUGGUACAACGAGUCGCGAAACCGCGAGGUCAAGCUAAUCUCUUAAAGCCAUUCUCAGUUCGGAUUGCAGGCUGCAACUCGCCUGCAUGAAGUUGGAAUCACUAGUAAUCGUGGAUCAGCAUGCCACGGUGAAUACGUUCCCGGGCCUUGUACACACC